Molecule: ribosomal RNA, 460 nt
Filed under: uncultured bacterium
Lineage: Bacteria
Description: partial 16S ribosomal RNA
Rfam family: Bacterial small subunit ribosomal RNA
Source: RNAcentral
CCUACGGGAGGCAGCAGUGAGGAAUAUUGGUCAAUGGGCGGAAGCCUGAACCAGCCAAGUCGCGUGAGGGAUUAAGGCCCUGCGGGUCGUAAACCUCUUUUGCCGGGGAGCAGAGGUCCGGACGUGUCCGGGCCGGGAGAGUACCCGGAGAAAAAGCAUCGGCUAACUCCGUGCCAGCAGCCGCGGUAAUACGGAGGAUGCGAGCGUUAUCCGGAUUUAUUGGGUUUAAAGGGUGCGUAGGCGGGCAUUUAAGCCGGCGGUCAAAUGUCGGGGCUCAACCCCGGCCUGCCGUCGGAACUGGGGGCCUGGAGUGGGCGAGAAGUAUGCGGAAUGCGUGGUGUAGCGGUGAAAUGCAUAGAUAUCAUGAAGAACUCCGAUCGCGAAGGCAAGUGUCCGGGGUGCAACUGACGCUGAGGCUCGAAAGUGCGGGUAUCAAACAGGAUUAGAUACCCCUGUAGUC